This 427-nucleotide ribosomal RNA is filed under the name Amphistegina lobifera. Its description in RNAcentral is "SSU rRNA". It matches the Rfam family "Eukaryotic small subunit ribosomal RNA", at positions 1176 to 1607 of the family's 1831-position model. Lineage: Eukaryota; Foraminifera; Rotaliida; Amphisteginidae. The record is from RNAcentral.
GUGGAGCAUGUGGCUUAAUUUGACUCAACGCGGGGAAUCUUACUAGGUCCGGACCGAUUCUAUGAUCGUCGUACUGUGGGGUGCUACGUGAUUACUGGAUGAGUGGUGCAUGGCCGUUCUUAGUUCGUGGUGUCAGUUGUCUACUUAAUUGUCAUUGGUUCUCGUAUCAUGCGAGAACUGAUAACGAACGAGAUCGAGGCCCGUGGUUACAGUUUGAAUUCGGUAUAACUACGGGGAUCGCGUAACACUCCACGGUACGAUCGAAAGACUCGGCAAUAACAGGUCUGUGAUGCCCUCAGAUGUUCUAGGCUGCACACGUGCUACAUUGUGGUUUCGUUUGUAUGCGUAGAUAUCUAAGAUCCCCCGCAUCGAGUCAUAAUCGGUCACUCGGUUGGACUCANCCGUUUGUAAUUAUUCGGUAUACUAA